This 253-nucleotide ribosomal RNA is filed under the name uncultured bacterium. RNAcentral's name for it is "partial 16S ribosomal RNA". It matches the Rfam family "Bacterial small subunit ribosomal RNA", at positions 524 to 776 of the family's 1533-position model. The record is from RNAcentral.
UACGUAGGGUGCGAGCGUUGUCCGGAAUUAUUGGGCGUAAAGAGCCCGUAGGCGGUCUGUCGCGUCGAAUGUGAAAACCCGGGGCUCAACUCCGGGCUUGCAUUCGAUACGGGCAGGCUAGAGUUCGGUAGGGGAGUCUGGAAUUCCUGGUGUAGCGGUGAAAUGCGCAGAUAUCAGGAGGAACACCGGUGGCGAAGGCGGGACUCUGGGCCGAUACUGACGCUGAGGAGCGAAAGCGUGGGGAGCGAACAGG